RNAcentral lists this ribosomal RNA (497 nucleotides) under uncultured bacterium. Its description in RNAcentral is "partial 16S ribosomal RNA". It matches the Rfam family "Bacterial small subunit ribosomal RNA", at positions 28 to 507 of the family's 1533-position model. The record is from RNAcentral.
GAUGAACGCUGGCGGCGUGCCUAAUACAUGCAAGUCGAGCGAACAGACGAGGAGCUUGCUCCUCUGACGUUAGCGGCGGACGGGUGAGUAACACUUGGAUAACCUACCUAUAAGACUGGUAUAACUUCGGGAAACCGGAGCUAAUACCGGAUAAUAUAUUGAACCUCAUGGUUCAAUAGUGAAAGACGGUUUUGCUGUCACUUAUAGAUGGAUCCGCGCCGCAUUAGCUACUUGGUAAGGUAACGGCUUACCAAGGCAACGAUGCGUAGCCGACCUGAGAGGGUGGUCGGCCACACUGGAACUGAGACACAGCCCAGACUCCGACAGGAGGCAGCAGUAGGGAAUCUUCCGCAAUGGGCGAAAGCCUGACGGAGCAACGCGGCGUGAGUGAUGACGGUCUCCGGAUCGGAAAACUAUGUUAUUAGGGAAGAAGAAAUGUGUAAGCAACUAUGCACGUCUUGACGGUACCUAAUCAGAAAGCCACGGCUAACUACGUG